AAUAAAUAAGUAUAACUAGUAAAGUAAAGAAAGGCUAUAAAUAAAGAAUAGCUAUGAACAGAAAAGAGAAUUGCAAGUAGAAAAGAGUUGCUGGUAGUAAAGAAUGAAAAAAAAGAAUAGUCAAAGAUAGAGGAUGACUGAAUGUAAAGAAUAAAAAUUAAAGUGAACUACUUGCGUAACUACAGGAGUUGCAUAUUGCAUUUUGGGAGGCAGGA
This 215-nucleotide long non-coding RNA is filed under the name Ananas comosus (pineapple). Its description in RNAcentral is "long non-coding RNA (ACOM_LNC028215)". Lineage: Eukaryota; Viridiplantae; Streptophyta; Magnoliopsida; Poales; Bromeliaceae. The record is from RNAcentral.